This 4797-nucleotide long non-coding RNA is filed under the name Nicotiana benthamiana. Its description in RNAcentral is "long non-coding RNA (NBEN_LNC017042)". The record is from RNAcentral. Lineage: Eukaryota; Viridiplantae; Streptophyta; Magnoliopsida; Solanales; Solanaceae.
AAGUUCUCCGGCGUAGACCUCUUUCUCGCUUAGCAAUACAUUCAACCCUCUAAUCUCUUCACUAGCUUUGGAGAGUUGCUCCGAAAAUAUUAUCUCGAAGAGAUUUUUGUCCUUGUCAGCUUGAUUUGAGGAAGCCUUCUCAAUUGCUAACUCUGAAGUCAAAACCUUCAACUGCUGCUCUAAGGUGCAAUUACUUUAUUCUAACACUUUCAUAUAAUUUGAAGGCUUUCAUAUUGUUCUUUCCAGCUGUCUGCUUUAUAUGAUAAUCAUGCAUUAGCUGCUCCGUAUGAGAAACCCUCUUCGUCAUUUCUGUGCCAAUAAGAUUGAUCUAAAAAAAAAGGAAAGGGGUAAGAAUCUUAAUAAAAGACGGAAGGAAUAAAGAGUAAAAAGAAACAAAUACCUUUAAUGAUGAUUGCACUAUGUCAUUCAUCCAAGUCAAAGAGCUAUAACUCUCGAGCUUGGAUUUCUCAACUGGACCGAUUAGAGGUUUCAACCAUACAUCAGCCCAACCUGACUUUUUCAAAAGAUUACCAUCGACAAGGACCUCAAUGGUAAUCUGUUUCAUCAUUCCAUUUCCACUCGAAAAAUCAAUCUUAGUACGAGGAGCAGUAGUAAGAGGAAUUGUAGAGGAAGUAAUCACAAUUUAGGGCAGAGCAGCAACAACUGCAGUCACAACUGGUAAAUAAAGAGCCACAGGGACAUGCAUUGUAAAUGAGGCAAGGGGUACUUCAUUGGAAACCAAAUCCAAAUUUUCACUAUCAAACCUAUGAGAAAAGAGCUGAUCAAUAGAGUCACGAGCUAUUGCAGGAUUAUCAUUAUCAGAGGUCACCAAUGUGGCUUAGAUAGCCUCGGUUAUAGGGACAGAAUGGGGAGGAGUCGCUUCAUCAUCUAAAAAGACGCAUCUUUUGGCUCGCGGCCUUUUUGUCAUGGAACCUCUAUCAUGUUCCUCCUCUUCUUCAGAAUCUUGGACAACUUUAACUGGCACUGGCAGGCACCCAAAAAAGUCAGAAGAAAUAGGUUCUCGAACCUCUUAAUAUUCUGAGGAGGUAUCGGGAGAAUGAACCUAAAUAGCAAAAGGGGCAUAGAUACGUAUUAUUAGUAAUUAAUAGGCUUUAAUUACGGAAAAUACUAUAGAAUCUUUAUUUAAACAGAUAUGAUUGAAAAUUAUAACGUUAUAUAUAUUAUAAUUAUUUUGGGUCAACCAGCUAAAUGUGAAACUUGCCCUAUUAUGUUAAUUACUAAUUAAUUAGCCCAUUAAAUUUGCUCUAAACAAACUCUUAUAGAGCUUAAUCUUUCUACUCCAUAGACAUCAGUGACGUGUUGGGCCACUCCAAAUUCAAAUUAAAAAAACGUGUGUACAUCAAUUAACAAGUCUUAAUCAGAAUUUAUGACAUUUAAUUAAAUGAAAGCUAUUCUUAAAUUGGGGCUCUAUACAUAGUUGUUCCUAUGGACCAUAAAUUGUACGAAUAGCCUUAAAAUUUGACAACAAAUGCUAAUCUUAAAUAGACAAGAGGAAAGAUUGCUCUCAGGCCAUGGGUGGAAUGAUCCGUCUUUAAUUGGCUGAUGGAGAACCUAGUGCUAGGUUCAUAUAAACCUAGCGUUAUAUAUAGAAAUUAUUACAAUUGUAAUAAAUAAUAGAUUCUUAAUCAAUAGAGCAUUGCGUAGAUUUUUUUUAUUUUUCACUCGAUCCCUAUUCAUAUUAAGAUUCGAUUAAAUUUGAAUUUGCAUAAAAAAAUACCAUAUUCAAAGAUAAAGUACUCUCUAACAAACAAUUUCAUACCCAAGACUUAAAGCUGAGACCUAUGUUGGAAUUUGGACUUACGUUAAUUGGUUAUAACCUAAAAGGAUAGUGACAUGACCCAAAUGGUGGAUAAAUAAAAGGCAUAAUAUUAAAUAUUGUGUGUGUGGAUAAGUGAGGCCUAAUAACUAUUGUCCUGUGAUGUGUAGACACUUUUUAUAAAUAGAAGUCAACCCCCUUUCCCUAGCUAUUAGAAAACCUUAGCGUAUUCUGCUUCUUGAAUACGUGGUAACGGUAGACGUCCCAUCAGUUAAGUUCUCUGGGUUAUGAGAGCGUGUAGCUAGUGGAUUGUGAAAGUUGGUCUCAAGAUUAAUCGCCAUUUACUGUCCCUGCUGAAUACUUGAAAUUUAACGGUACGCUUCCUUGGACUCUAGUGUGAAUUAAUAAUUUUACAGUUGAUAUAAGAGCUACUAUAAUUAGAGAUUAAGACCGUUAGUAAUCUCGAGUAAAUCAUCAAAAGAAUUGCUAUAUAGAAGUACCGCUUAAUAUUCAAUACGACGGUGAGAAACUCGAUUUAGGGUUCGACGUCUACAAUUGAUGACACUGUUGGCAAUGGAACUACUCGGUCAUUGUAUUGCCUUUGAUAAUUAAUGAAGGCAACAGUAUAGUGGUUUCAAACGCUAUUGGCUUUAUACAAAGGGUAAGGAAGGAAAUUUAGUCGCUAAUUAAUUUACCACAUAAUAGCUGCGCACGGUGAUGAGUUUCAUCAUUUUAAUGAAAGCAAUAUUUUGACCUACGUUUUGAGAUUGACUUGAUUCUGUCUUUUAGUAUAUGUAGUUGAUAUUUCUUUUUGAUUCUGAUAAGUUACGUGGGCCACAACUCCAAAUAGAAUAUCCUUUUGCCAACACACUAAAUUAUAUUUAUUUUGUGGAGUGAAAGAAUCUUUAAUACUUAGAUAAAACAGAAUGUUUGAACUUGCCGUGAUAUUACGACUUUUGUCUGUUAUCAUAUUCUUUAUUUAACGUUAUACUUGAUUGUGUAUAGGGGAUUUUCGUAUGUCUAUGACUUGUUUGUUGGCAUAUUGUAUAUGAAUUGAUACAAUAAAUUGUCACUGGGACUUGUUUUUUUUAAUAUUAGUUAGAGAAUGGAAUAAAUAAAUAAAAGAUUUGAAUAUAUGGGCUAAAUUUAUCCCACAUGUAUAUGGUAUUAUAUAAUAAGUAUUGAUGAUUAAUGAAUAUUUUCCAUCAAAGUGGUCUAUUUAUUUGGAAUCAUUGAAAAUUCUUAAAAUUUUGAUACAUGUGAAAAAUAUUAUACAUAGAUUGAGAUUUAUGAUUGAUGAAUAGUUUUCACUCAAAGUGGUCUGUUUAUUUGAGUCAUUGAAAUAUUCUUGAUACUAUAUCUAAAUUGUUCUUUAUGACUGUAUGCUAGUGUUGGAGGUUUACCUUUUAAUACUAGUGAUGGUAAAUUAAUUUAUGAUAUAAGAUAUUAUAUUUCAACCCGAAGGAUAAGCUUAAUAUCUUGGAUUCUCAUGUGUGUGUGUUUGUGUGUGUGUGUGUGUGUGUAUAUAUAUAUAUACACACAAUAAAUAAGGAUAAUUUAAUGUAAGGGGAGGUUUUGUGUCUCUUACCUAAAGGAAGGACAUAAUUUAUGCCUUAUGCUCUUGGAUAACAGGGGGUGGAUUUGUAUCUCUUGCCUAAAGGUGAGGAUGCAAUGAACUCCUUGGACUCCUUGAUUUUUAAAAGGGGAGAGAAUUGCAUCUUCUACCCAAAGAAGGGGUGUGAUGGAUGUCUUUGAUUCUUUUGAUCUAUAUAUUCUGGCCUAUAAUUUUAUCUAAUCUUUAUGUUGUUUGCUUAUACAACUGUUAGUAAAAUGACUACUUAGUUGAAUUUCAUUAAAACUUUAAGUAAUAGCAACUACAAGAAAUGGAAACAGAAUGUUGAAAUAAUGUUAGGUCUGAUGGAGCUGGACUUUACCUUGACUGAACAGAAACCUGCUGGACCUACAAAUACUAGCAUCACUGAUGAAAAGGCUAAGUAUGAAAAUGGAUAAAGGCUAACAAAUGGAGUCUUAUGAUCAUGAAGAGAUCCAUUUUUUGAUCACAUAAAAGGUACAAUUAAGGAUAAUGGAAAUGCAAAAGAUUUUCUUGAGUGCCAUUGGAUAGAAAUUCCUAGAAUCUAAUAAAUCUGAGAUAGGUAGCCUCAUUGAUUCCUUGUCUACCAUAAAGUAUGAUCUUGUAGGUAGUGUCCAUGAUCACAUUAUGAAAUUUGUUAACAUUGCUACCAAGCUGAACAGUUUAGGUGUAAUCAUUACUGAAGAUUUUCUUGUUCACCAAUCUCUAAGGUCCCUUCCUGAACAAUUUAACCAACUUAAGACAAUUAUAAUGCACAAAAGGAUAAGUGGAGUAUUGAUGAGCUUGUUGCUGUUUGUGUGGUAGAGGAAGGAAGGAUCCAAAAGGAGAAAAUUGAGGGUGUAGUGAACUUUGUUAGUUCGUCUGGAUCUCCUGUUUAUCCCUCUUAUAAAAGAAAAGGUGGACCCAAAUUUCACAAAAAGAAACAUGGUCAUUCUUAUCAUCCAGAUGGUAAUAGUGGUCGUUCUAAUAAGACUGGUGCUAACCAAGGUCAGUCACAUAAUUUUCUUGGUUCUCAAGCUGUAAUUAAGAAAGAAAUCAAGUGCUGAGAAUGCAAACAAGUAGGUCACAAGAAAGCUGGAUGUUCUCUGAAAAAGAAAUCAAGUAACUUUUGGUCUUUGUCCGCUUUGAAACUAGUCUCUUUCAUGUUCCUUUAAAUUCCCGGUGGUUGGAUAGUGGAGCAACUGUUUAUAUAACCAAUGACUUGCAGGACCUAAUAAUCAGAACGAAGCCAAAAGAGGAUGAAGCCAAUGUUGUUGUGGGCAGUAGACUCAAAGAAAAAGUAAAGUUUAUAGAGAUGUCUAUUUUACCUUUUAAGAAUAAUUCUUGUAUUCGUUUAAAAAAUACUAUUGUUGUACCGUCUAUGAGAACAAAAAAUUAGUUUCGGUUUUCCUUUUGGACAAAACUGGUUAUCAUUUCAACAUAAUGUUAC